AUUCCUACGGGAGGCAGCAGUGGGGAAUUUUCCGCAAUGGGCGAAAGCCUGACGGAGCAACGCCGCGUGAGGGAUGAAGGCCUCUGGGCUGUAAACCUCUUUUAUCAAGGAAGAAGAUCUGACGGUACUUGAUGAAUAAGCCACGGCUAAUUCCGUGCCAGCAGCCGCGGUAAUACGGGAGUGGCAAGCGUUAUCCGGAAUUAUUGGGCGUAAAGCGUCCGCAGGCGGCCCUUCAAGUCUGCUGUUAAAAAGUGGAGCUUAACUCCAUCAUGGCAGUGGAAACUGUUGGGCUUGAGUGUGGUAGGGGCAGAGGGAAUUCCCGGUGUAGCGGUGAAAUGCGUAGAUAUCGGGAAGAACACCAGUGGCGAAGGCGCUCUGCUGGGCCAUCACUGACGCUCAUGAACGAAAGCCAGGGGAGCGAAAGGGAUUAGAUACCCCUGUAGUCCUGGCCGUAAACGAUGAACACUAGGUGUCGGGGGAAUCGACCCCCUCGGUGUCGUAGCCAACGCGUUAAGUGUUCCGCCUGGGGAGUACGCACGCAAGUGUGAAACUCAAAGGAAUUGACGGAAACUUAAAGGAAUUGACGGAAU
Molecule: ribosomal RNA, 590 nt
Filed under: uncultured bacterium
Lineage: Bacteria
Description: bacterial SSU rRNA
Rfam family: Bacterial small subunit ribosomal RNA
Source: RNAcentral